RNAcentral lists this ribosomal RNA (305 nucleotides) under uncultured bacterium. RNAcentral's name for it is "bacterial SSU rRNA". It matches the Rfam family "Bacterial small subunit ribosomal RNA", at positions 337 to 639 of the family's 1533-position model. The record is from RNAcentral.
UCCUACGGGGGGCAGCAGUGAGGAAUAUUGGUCAAUGGGCGGAAGCCUGAACCAGCCAAGUCGCGUGAGGGAAUAAGGCCCUACGGGUCGUAAACCUCUUUUGCCGGGGAGCAAGGGCGGGGACGUGUCCCGGCCCGGAGAGUACCCGGAGAAAAAGCAUCGGCUAACUCCGUGCCAGCAGCCGCGGUAAUACGGAGGAUGCGAGCGUUAUCCGGAUUUAUUGGGUUUAAAGGGUGCGUAGGCGGGCUUUUAAGUCAGCGGUAAAAAUUCGGGGCUCAACCCUGUCCGGCCGUUGAAACUGGGGG